This 497-nucleotide ribosomal RNA is filed under the name uncultured bacterium. RNAcentral's name for it is "partial 16S ribosomal RNA". It matches the Rfam family "Bacterial small subunit ribosomal RNA", at positions 28 to 507 of the family's 1533-position model. The record is from RNAcentral.
GACGAACGCUGGCGGCGUGCCUAAUACAUGCAAGUUGAGCGAUGAAGAUUGGUGCUUGCACCAAUUUGAAGAGCAGCGAACGGGUGAGUAACGCGUGGGGAAUCUGCCUUUGAGCGGGGGACAACAUUUGGAAACGAAUGCUAAUACCGCAUAACAACUUUAAACAUAAGUUUUAAGUUUGAAAGAUGCAAUUGCGUCACUCAAAGAUGAUCCCGCGUUGUAUUAGCUAGUUGGUGAGGUAAAGGCUCACCAAGGCGAUGAUACAUAGCCGACCUGAGAGGGUGAUCGGCCACAUUGGGAAUGAGACAAGGCCCAAACUCCUAAGGGAGGCAGCAGUAGGGAAUCUUCGGCAAUAGACGAAAGUCUGACCGAGCAACGCCGCGUGAGUGAAGAAGGUUUUCGGAUCGUAAAACUCUGUUGGUAGAGAAGAACGUUGGUGAGAGUGGAAAGCUCAUCAAGUGACGGUAACUACCCAGAAAGGGACGGCUAACUACGUG